This 750-nucleotide ribosomal RNA is filed under the name uncultured bacterium. RNAcentral describes it as "bacterial SSU rRNA". It matches the Rfam family "Bacterial small subunit ribosomal RNA", at positions 28 to 776 of the family's 1533-position model. The record is from RNAcentral.
AUUGAACGCUGGCGGCAGGCUUAACACAUGCAAGUCGAACGAUGAAGAUAUAGCUUGCUAUAUCGGAUUAGUGGCGGACGGGUGAGUAACACUUAGGAAUCUACCUUUUAGCGGGGGAUAGCUCGGGGAAACUCGAAUUAAUACCGCAUAAUUUCUACGGAAUAAAGAGGGCUUUUAGCUCUCACUAGAAGAUGAGCCUAAGUAAGAUUAGCUAGUUGGUGGGGUAAAAGCCUACCAAGGCGACGAUCUUUUGCUGGUCUGAGAGGAUGAUCAGCCACACUGGGACUGAGACACGGCCCAGACUCCUACGGGAGGCAGCAGUGGGGAAUAUUGGACAAUGGGGGCAACCCUGAUCCAGCCAUGCCGCGUGUGUGAAGAAGGCCUUUUGGUUGUAAAGCACUUUAAGCAGUGAAGAAGACCUAUUGGUUAACACCCAAUAGCGAUGACAUUAACUGCAGAAUAAGCACCGGCUAACUCUGUGCCAGCAGCCGCGGUAAUACAGAGGGUGCAAGCGUUAAUCGGAAUUACUGGGCGUAAAGCGAGCGUAGGUGGUUAAAUAAGUCAGAUGUGAAAGCCCUGGGCUCAACCUAGGAACGGCAUCUGAAACUAUUUAACUAGAGUAGGUGAGAGGGAAGUAGAAUUUCAGGUGUAGCGGUGAAAUGCGUAGAGAUCUGAAGGAAUACCGAUGGCGAAGGCAGCUUCCUGGCAUCAUACUGACACUGAGGCUCGAAAGCGUGGGUAGCAAACAGG